GCGUCCGUAGCUCAAUGAAUAGAGCAGCUCUUUGUCGAGGGGCCAGAUGUGGGUUGAACUCCCACCGGACGCC
This 73-nucleotide transfer RNA is filed under the name Terriglobia bacterium. RNAcentral's name for it is "tRNA-Asp". It matches the Rfam family "tRNA". From Rfam's summary of the family: Transfer RNA (tRNA) molecules are approximately 80 nucleotides in length. Lineage: Bacteria; Pseudomonadati; Acidobacteriota; Terriglobia. The record is from RNAcentral.